Molecule: ribosomal RNA, 556 nt
Filed under: Neokomagataea thailandica
Lineage: Bacteria; Pseudomonadati; Pseudomonadota; Alphaproteobacteria; Acetobacterales; Acetobacteraceae
Description: bacterial SSU rRNA
Rfam family: Bacterial small subunit ribosomal RNA
Source: RNAcentral
CCUUUCGGGGUUAGUGGCGGACGGGUGAGUAACGCGUAGGUAUCUAUCCACGGGUGGGGGAUAACAUCGGGAAACUGGUGCUAAUACCGCAUGAUACCUGAGGGUCAAAGGCGCAAGUCGCCUGUGGAGGAGCCUGCGUUCGAUUAGCUAGUUGGUUGGGUAAUGGCUGACCAAGGCGAUGAUCGAUAGCUGGUUUGAGAGGAUGAUCAGCCACACUGGGACUGAGACACGGCCCAGACUCCUACGGGAGGCAGCAGUGGGGAAUAUUGGACAAUGGGGGCAACCCUGAUCCAGCAAUGCCGCGUGUGUGAAGAAGGUCUUCGGAUUGUAAAGCACUUUCGUUGGGGACGAUGAUGACGGUACCCAAAGAAGAAGCCCCGGCUAACUUCGUGCCAGCAGCCGCGGUAAUACGAAGGGGGCUAGCGUUGCUCGGAAUGACUGGGCGUAAAGGGCGCGUAGCGGUUUAAGCAGUCAGAUGUGAAAUCCCCGGGCUUAACCUGGGAACUGCAUUUGAGACGCUUAGACUAGAGUUCGAGAGAGGGUUGUGGAAUUCCCA